CCUACGGGUGGCUGCAGUGGGGAAUAUUGCACAAUGGGGGAAACCCUGAUGCAGCGACGCCGCGUGAGUGAAGAAGUAUUUCGGUAUGUAAAGCUCUAUCAGCAGGGAAGAAAAAAGACGGUACCUGACUAAUAAGCCCCUGCUAACUACGUGCCAGCAGCCGCGGUAAUACGUAGGGGGCAAGCGUUAUCCGGAUUUACUGGGUUUAAAGGGAGCGUAGACGGCAAUACAAGUCGGAAGUGAAAUACCCGGGCUCAACCUGGGAACUGCUUUGGAAACUGUAUGGCUAGAGUGCUGGAGAGGUAAGCGGAAUUCGGAGUGUAGCGGUGAAAGGCGUAGAUAUUAGGAGGAACACCAGUGGCGAAGGCGGCUUACUGGACAGUAACUGACGUUGAGGCUCGAAAGCGUGGGGAGCAAACAGGAUUAGAUACCCGAGUAGUC
This 441-nucleotide ribosomal RNA is filed under the name uncultured bacterium. RNAcentral's name for it is "partial 16S ribosomal RNA". It matches the Rfam family "Bacterial small subunit ribosomal RNA", at positions 338 to 795 of the family's 1533-position model. The record is from RNAcentral.